RNAcentral lists this transfer RNA (87 nucleotides) under Streptomyces cinnamoneus. RNAcentral describes it as "tRNA-Arg". The record is from RNAcentral. Lineage: Bacteria; Bacillati; Actinomycetota; Actinomycetes; Kitasatosporales; Streptomycetaceae.
GACGCCAUGGUGAAGGCGGGUGCUCCCGGGGUCCUGGCCCGGGUCGACGACGGCACGGGCUCCUGGACCGUCACCAGUGGCGUCGCC